AACGAACGCUGGCGGCAGGCCUAACACAUGCAAGUCGAGCGCACCCUUCGGGGCGAGCGGCGGACGGGUUAGUAACGCGUGGGAACGUACCCUUUUCUACGGAAUAGCCUCGGGAAACUGAGAGUAAUACCGUAUAAGCCCUUCGGGGGAAAGAUUUAUCGGUAAAGGAUCGGCCCGCGUUAGAUUAGAUAGUUGGUGGGGUAAUGGCCUACCAAGUCUACGAUCUAUAGCUGGUUUUAGAGGAUGAUCAGCAACACUGGGACUGAGACACGGCCCAGACUCCUACGGGAGGCAGCAGUGGGGAAUCUUAGACAAUGGGCGCAAGCCUGAUCUAGCCAUGCCGCGUGUGUGAUGAAGGCCUUAGGGUCGUAAAGCACUUUCGCCAGGGAUGAUAAUGACAGUACCUGGUAAAGAAACCCCGGCUAACUCCGUGCCAGCAGCCGCGGUAA
This 449-nucleotide ribosomal RNA is filed under the name uncultured bacterium. Its description in RNAcentral is "bacterial SSU rRNA". It matches the Rfam family "Bacterial small subunit ribosomal RNA", at positions 29 to 523 of the family's 1533-position model. The record is from RNAcentral.